UUGAACGCUGGCGGAAUGCUUUACACAUGCAAGUCGAGCGGCAGCGCGGGGGCAACCCUGGCGGCGAGCGGCGAACGGGUGAGUAAUGUAUCGGAACGUACCCUGUCGUGGGGGAUAACACAGCGAAAGCUGUGCUAAUACCGCAUACGACCUGAGGGCGAAAGCGGGGGAUCGCAAGACCUCGCGCGAUAGGAGCGGCCGAUAUCGGAUUAGCUUGUUGGUGAGGUAAAGGCUCACCAAGGCGACGAUCCGUAGCUGGUCUGAGAGGACGACCAGCCACACUGGAACGGAGACACGGGCCAGACGCCUACGGGAGGCAGCAGUGGGGAAUUUUGGACAAUGGGGGCAACCCUGAUCCAGCCAGGCCGCGUGAGUGAAGAAGGCCUUCGGGUUGUAAAGCUCUUUCAGCAGGAACGAAACGGUGGCCAUUAAUACUGGCGACGAAUGACGGUACCUGAAGAAGAAGCACCGGCUAACUACGU
This 482-nucleotide ribosomal RNA is filed under the name uncultured bacterium. RNAcentral describes it as "bacterial SSU rRNA". It matches the Rfam family "Bacterial small subunit ribosomal RNA", at positions 29 to 506 of the family's 1533-position model. The record is from RNAcentral.